Non-coding RNA from Caerostris darwini, 74 nucleotides. NCBI's taxonomy places the organism in Eukaryota, Metazoa, Arthropoda, Arachnida, Araneae, Araneidae. The record is from the annotation of a GenBank genome assembly.
GCAGUCGUGGCCGAGUGGUUAAGGCGAUGGACUAUCUAUUAAUUCCCGCGCAGGUUCGAAUCCUGCCGACUGCG